Long non-coding RNA from Electrophorus electricus (electric eel), 1693 nucleotides. RefSeq lists it as uncharacterized. NCBI's taxonomy places the organism in Eukaryota, Metazoa, Chordata, Actinopteri, Gymnotiformes, Gymnotidae. The record is from RefSeq and is a predicted model, not a curated record.
UCUCCUUCACUUUCUCCUCCGCUUAUGCUCAGAUUCCGCAUUCAGGACUCACGUUUCACUGAAACAACUCAUGUUCACCCCCUGCACCUCUUUCACCCUCUCUCCCUCUCUUUGCAGCGCUUCUCCAUCCAUCCAUUAUUCACUUCCGGCUUGCCCCUUCCCUCUCCUGCCCCCUCCACCUCGCUCCUGCCUCCCGAUCCAUCCCACCCUUUUAUGUAAUGUUCAGUUAUUUCACUCUUUUGGUCUCCCCAUCCCCUGACUUCCCCUCUGCUCUGUCUCAUCAUCUUUGAGAUGCUACUCAACCCUAUAUGCCCCAGGGCCUGCAUCAAAAGUUUGCAAAACUCCACGCAGAGUCACGCGGGAGACCUCUACGUGGGCCCCAGGACAAGGAGCCGUUUGCCAGCAUGAGAUGAGAGCACAGCUCAGUGAAAGAAGACCUUCUUUGGAGCUGGAAGCUGUUUAGGAAGAAAGCUGCAUACUCUGGAUGGUGUGGGGGGAGAAUGAAAGAAUGAAAGACUAAGAUGUCACGCGUGGGCGGAGGAGCGAAGAAGAGUAUGGAAAGCCAGAUAGUCAACAUUCUCUGGAGAUAAAAGCGGCGUUUGGAAGUUUUGGGGCCAUUUUUUGGGUUGUAUUUGAGUCGUUUAAAUGUUAGUUUUUUAAAAAACAACAACAAACAAACCUUGAAUAUGGCAUUUUUACGUUACGUUUGUGUCCCUCCAAUGGCAUUAAAAGCAAUGCAUAAGAUAAUAAGCUCCACCUGACAGAUUUUGACAGUCAGUAGAAUUACAAAUUCUUCGUUCAGUCGCUCAGAUACAAGGUCAGAGCCGACCAGUUCACUACAGAUAUUACCAGCUAAUAAACCAUUGUUCACAUUUAUUUAUUUUGGGAUUUUCCAAUUUGUGUUAAUUUGCUUGAUAAUUAAUUUAUAAUUACAAUAUCUGUGUUUUUUAAAGAAUGUUUGGUGUGCCCUCUUUUGAUUUUCUGUUACUCUCCCAUUCCGUGAGCUGUCUACGUGUGUUUUCUUGGUCAGGUUAGUUCCUACCAAAAUGGAGUCACCUGCAUGUGCCAUAGACAGUCCUGUUGUGUUUGAAAACAAAAGCUUCACCUGCAUGAUCAUUCACUCACCAUCCUGAGGAAAUUUUAGUAAUUAGACCAUCAUCUGGUUUAUUCUGUCUGGUUUGGUGAUUGCUGUGUCCUUGGUGCACUCUAACUGCAGCAGUUUCACAUAGCCAUCAUCUACUUAAAUCUCUUCUUAGAUGACCUCAGUCAUACUCUCACAUUACCCAUUGUUCUUGUCUGAUUAAUCUUAAUACUUCUGUUUAAUGAUUAAGUUUACCUUGUCUGUCUUCAUCUAUCGUAACUAAUUCAUUCCAAUUUAUUGUAUCAUAUUAUAGAUUUUCUAAAAUUAGCUCAUAACUCAAAUUGCUUUUUUGUAUUGCUUGUUGUUAUCUAGUGUCUACCACAGGACAGGUUCAUCAUCUGAGUCUUUGUUGCUCUCAAAGUUUCUUCCACGUGAUCUGAAAUUACUUUUUCUUUAGUACUGUUGCCUUGCAAUUGGACUGUGAUUUCUUUAAAGAUGGUUUGUGACAAUACCUGUUGUGAAAAGUAUUAUGCAAGUACAUUUGAACUGAAUGAUACAUGGGCAAGCCCAUAAAAUUUAAGAUGAUUUAAUGAAAUUAUUUCAUUACCAUGA